UGGGGAAUUUUGGACAAUGGGCGAAAGCCUGAUCCAGCAAUGCCGCGUGUGUGAAGAGGGCCUUCGGGUUGUAAAGCACUUUUGUCCGGAAAGAAAUCCUUGGCUCUAAUACAGUCGGGGGAUGACGGUACCGGAAGAAUAAGCACCGGCUAACUACGUGCCAGCAGCCGCGGUAAUACGUAGGGUGCAAGCGUUAAUCGGAAUUACUGGGCGUAAAGCGUGCGCAGGCGGUUUGCUAAGACCGAUGUGAAAUCCCCGGGCUCAACCUGGGAACUGCAUUGGUGACUGGCAGGCUAGAGUAUGGCAGAGGGGGGUAGAAUUCCACGUGUAGCAGUGAAAUGCGUAGAGAUGUGGAGGAAUACCGAUGGCGAAGGCAGCCCCCUGGGCCAAUACUGACGCUCAUGCACGAAAGCGUGGGGAGCAAACAGGAUUAGAUACCCUGGUAGUCCACGCCCUAAACGAUGCCAACUAGUUGUUGGGGAUUCAUUUCCUUAGUAACGUAGCUAACGCGUGAAGUUGACCGCCUGGGGAGUACGGUCGCAAGAUUAAAACUCAAAUGAAUUG
RNAcentral lists this ribosomal RNA (564 nucleotides) under uncultured bacterium. Its description in RNAcentral is "partial 16S ribosomal RNA". It matches the Rfam family "Bacterial small subunit ribosomal RNA", at positions 355 to 912 of the family's 1533-position model. The record is from RNAcentral.